GAUGCCCGCUGGCGGCGUGCCUAAUACAUGCAAGUCGCGCGAACAGACGAGGAGCUUGCUCCUCUGACGUUAGCGGCGGACGUGUGAGUACCACGUGGAUCACCUACUUCUAAGCCCGGGAUAACUUCGGGAAACCGGAGCUAAUACCGGAUAAUAUUUUGAACCGCAUGGUUCAAUAGUGAAAGACGGUUUUGCUGUCACUUAUAGAUGGAUCCGCGCCGCAUUAGCUAGUUGGUAAGGUAACGGCUUACCAAGGCAACGAUGCGUAGCCGACCUGAGAGGGUGAUCGGCCACACUGUAACUGAGACACGGUCCAGACUCCUACGGGAGGCAGCAGUAGGGAAUCUUCCGCAAUGGGCGAAAGCCUGACGGAGCAACGCCGCGUGAGUGAUGAAGGUCUUCGGAUCGUAAAACUCUGUUAUUAGGGAAGAACAAAUGUGUAAGUAACUAUGCACGUCUUGACGGUACCUAAUCAGAAAGCCACGGCUAACUACGUG
Molecule: ribosomal RNA, 497 nt
Filed under: uncultured bacterium
Lineage: Bacteria
Description: partial 16S ribosomal RNA
Rfam family: Bacterial small subunit ribosomal RNA
Source: RNAcentral